This 321-nucleotide long non-coding RNA is filed under the name Elaeis guineensis (African oil palm). RNAcentral describes it as "long non-coding RNA (EGUI_LNC058726)". The record is from RNAcentral. Lineage: Eukaryota; Viridiplantae; Streptophyta; Magnoliopsida; Arecales; Arecaceae.
CAAAAAGAAAAACCAGAGGCGCUCUAAUCUUCAUUCCAUCGAAGAACCGGCAGGUAUGUUUUGGAUCAGCAUCUCUGAUAAAUUUUGCCUUUCAGCUUGGGAGCUACGCAUCAAGCCAGACCAUGAAGAUGGUUGGCUGAUCAUGCAGCCUGGCCAACCACAUCAGCAGCCUGAUCCACUUUUACAUGGAGAAUGUGGUUAACGACCGCACCCUUCUGAUUGGAGCCCGACUGAAAAUUGGAGUUAGAAAAGGAUUUUAGAGUACGACCAACAACCGAACCAUCCUCAACAAAACCCGGACAGUGGCCACACCCUCCUUGG